UCCUGGGGGAGCCUAAGGUGCGGUAAAUAGCACCCAAGUUGGCUGAGAUUCCGCAAUUUGCUGCGGUAACCCUUAGAACCUGAUCCGGAUAAUGCCGGCGAAGGGAAGGAACAA
This 114-nucleotide non-coding RNA is filed under the name Candidatus Oceanisphaera merdipullorum. RNAcentral's name for it is "TPP riboswitch (THI element)". It matches the Rfam family "TPP riboswitch aptamer (THI element)", at positions 7 to 92 of the family's 105-position model. Rfam says of the family: Vitamin B(1) in its active form thiamin pyrophosphate (TPP) is an essential coenzyme that is synthesised by coupling of pyrimidine and thiazole moieties in bacteria. Lineage: Bacteria; Pseudomonadati; Pseudomonadota; Gammaproteobacteria; Aeromonadales; Aeromonadaceae. The record is from RNAcentral.